This is a non-coding RNA of Acanthosepion pharaonis, 108 nucleotides long. The record is from the annotation of a GenBank genome assembly. Lineage: Eukaryota; Metazoa; Mollusca; Cephalopoda; Sepiida; Sepiidae.
CCAUAUCAUGUGGAAACACCAGUUCUCAUACGAUAACUGAAGUUAAGCAAAGUCAAGUUUGGUCAGUAACUAGAUGGGUGACCACUUGGGAAUACCAGGUGCUGUAAG